CCCCCCCUUUUUUUUUUCUUUUUUUAAGAUAAUCAUGUUCUUUUCUUAAUACGAAUAAUAUAAAAAAUUCUAACAUCUAUAUUCUAAUCUACAUUCCCGGACAUUCAUCUAUACAACAGUAAUGUUUUUUUUUUUUUUUUUUCUGACUAAAUAGAAUUCCUGACGUUAGGAUAUCAAAGUGGGGUUAACGAAAAAGAAAACAGAACGAACUUCGUGGAAAUUAAUGACAACGACUAGCUACCUCUGCAAUCGCCAAUCAGGUUUAGUGGCACCAAGAUUCAACCCCCAAUUGAGCAUACAAGGCAGAAUAUUGGCUUGUGUUCUUGAUGGAUUUGGAAAUGUGUUCCGGGUCCGGACCCGGUAACAACAGUCACAGAAAGCACUAGAAUGUGUCACGGCCAGGACCAGUUCCAGAACCAUCAGAAGAGAAAAUUGGACCACAUCACAAGCCGAAAAGGUAACCAUUAAACCAAACCAAAAGUCGGGAGAUCAUUACAUUCAUUUAUGCAAAACACGAUCAUACCGGGAGUUGACAUGUACAUGAUACUUCUUAUCAGACAAGGAAGUUGAAACUAGUUUGUACUUUACUAGUAUUAUAUCAUACAUAUUACUACUGAGCAGUAGCUUUCUUGGCUUUCUUAGCAGCAGAGGACUUGAUGGAUUUGGGCUGCUUUGGUUUGGCAGCAGCCGAUUUCUUUGCCUUCUUAGGCGGAGGAGGAGCGGCGGCGGCAGACUCUGCUUUGAUUUUAGCUGCAGCAGUUACGGACCUUGUUUUCCUUGGGGCCUUGGCCUUGGUCUUGAUCUCUUUUUUGGUUUUGCCAGCUGCCGCUUCAGAGAGCUUGUAAGAGGCCCUGAUCUUGAUGAGAUUUCCUUUCGCAGCGAAGUGCUUCAGCUGCACUGCCAAUAUUUUCCUGAAAUUCGCUGGGAGCUCAUCUUUGUGCUUCUCUUCCAUGUACUUGGCUAUUGCGUAUGGGCUUGAACCGCUCUUAUCUUGCAGCGCCAUCAGUGCCUCCGUUAUCAUCUGCACAAUUAAUUACAAUAAUAUCAAAAACUUCCUUCAAUGAACGUGACUUAUAAUUUAAUUUGAUUAAAUUGACAAACCUGAAAAUAAGGAGGAUGAGAGGGGGUUUUGGACUGCUUUGGCUUCUUCUCUUUAGGAGCCUUGGGCUUCUUGUCCUUAGCAGCCUUGGCCUUCUUCUCAGUGACGACCUUUUCCGGCUCCUCCGCAGCCGGCUGCUGCUCCGUCACAGCUUCACCUUCUGUGGCCAUCUACUUUCGCAACUAACGAAUCCGCUCAAAACGAUCUCGCAGAAUUACUAGAAGAAAACUAAAGCCUUGAAUUACAGCCUUGAUUGUUUAUUUAUUAAAUAUCGGAGGAAAUGAUCCUUAAUUUAUACUAGCGCUCCAUCCCGGUGAAAAUUUUGUUAUUGGUCCGUUGGAAUUAAAGUAGAUCGCCAGCGUGUUCAAGGAUAUAUCUAGAACUCACACGUGGAACGAUAUCCGACCGUCCCUUACUAUACCAGUUUAAUUUUGCUUAAAAUGGAAUGCGGAGUGGAUUGAAAUUUUCAUUUCGACGUUGGUCUUCUUCCUCUUUGUUGUGUGCUUUCUAUUUUGAUUUACACUGCGAUAUCUUGGGCAUGAAGUCGGCUUUUUUCAUUUUUUUUUUUUGGGAAUGCAAGCUAAGUAAGUCCAGAUUAUAAUGCGGGUCACAUGGAGCAAAAUGGUUGAGUUAAUUGAAUUCUCAAAACAAAAUGUUGUUGGUGUAUGUUGGUUUUGCUUUUUACUUUGUUACUCCGUUGUGCUGUGAAAUUAGAGAAAGCCAUUAUUAGCAAUACGUGAUUGAAAUUUAUAAUUAGGUUUCUCUCUUUCAAAUACAACAAUUAUUUACAAACACAUGAUUAACAUACUAAAUAAGAUCAAAGAUAAUUAUACACCGACCACCUAUUUUUUUUAACUUUUUUAAAAAUACACAAAUCUUAUUUUUUUUGAGACAAUAUUCUACUUGAAGUUAACAUUUUUUUUUAUUUGUCCACUCCCGUCAUAGCACUGUUAGAACUUUGUUGACAUAGUAAGGGUAAAAUUUUUAUUUCACAAGAACAAAAAAAACGACAUUAUUUUAUGUUCCUUUUUUAUUUCCUUUUAUUUUUGGAUAUUAGAAAUUUUUGGUUAAAUUUAAAUUCUUUUAUUAAUUGGUAUCCCUGUUUCUUCUAAUAUAAAUAUAUAUAUACAUUAGAUGCAAAAGUAAUUCAAAUAUGAAUAAAGGAUAAAAGAAAAGUGUACUAGAUUUUGGAAUUUGCCAAUUCAGAAAUGAAAAUAGAAAUUAGAAGUUGAGCCUCUAAUUCCUAUCUUUUUCUUUUCUUGAGUCGGUACUGUGAGUAUAGGAUGUUCUAGUUUUGAUAUUGGAUAUGCCAAACAUUGUAACAAGCUCAAGGAUGGAAACAGAAGUUUUGUGGGGCUUCUACAGUGUCGUAUUGAUCUUGGAAAAUUUUAAAUGAUAUUUCUUUGCCAUUUAUUUGAGACAAAAGAAUAAUUUUAUAUUCAGGGAAAAAAAGAUCGUUUAAUUAAUAUUCUGUUAAAUCUAUUAAUUCCGUUAUAACAGAAGUUGACAAGUAAAAAGAAUGUUAACUUUCAGUAUAGCACUGUCCCUAAAAAAAAAAUCGUGUAUUUUUGAAAAAAAAAAAAAAACAUAUGAUACGUGGAUAAUUGCCCUAGAAUCAGUAACUCUUACUCAUUGUUCUCGCACUUUAAGAGUGUACAACGAGGGACAAGAAAAAAACACACCCAAUUAGGAAAACUCGGAAAACACAGACCUACACCACCAAACAUUACUUUUUUAUCCAGAUUCUCUGUCUGAACUUCCGAUUUAAAAGCAAGUUCCAACCGGUUAAGGUCAACAAGAUCAGUAUUUCAAAUAGUUGUUUUCAACGUAAACAGGAUUGCUAUAGAUCCAGAUGAAGAAAAGUUGGGAAUUCAUCAUCGUAAUAAAACUUUAAAUUACAUUAACAAAAGCUAAAAAAUGAUUUGAUGUUAUAACAAAAGGCAGCAUAUACAAGGUUUUUAGGUAAACUAAAUAAAUAAACAAGCGUUGAAGUGGUGUUCUUUUGUCAACAUAGUAGCAUAAUGAACAAAAUCUUAUUAAGAUCGGAAACUCUUAUCGUUUACAACUGUAGGGAUAUCAUCCAACACAUAUUCUACGGUGCAGUAGUGGAAAUCAAAUGUUCAAUAAAACAAAAAGGUCAAAAGUGAAGGAAAAAAAAUAUUAAUAGAAAAUUGUAAGAUCACGUAAUAAGUCCAACUUCAACAAUAAAGUUUGGCUGCCAGCAUUUCACGGCAUGAUCAAGAGACUUUCACAAUCAUACAAUGAACUGAAGCAUUUGCAAGAGUCAAUGACGCCCGCUUAUUUGAAUAAUACAAAUUACACAGAGCUAGUAAAUAACUACGAAGCAGCUGUCCUAUAGAUAGAACUACAAUAGAUUAAAUAAAUACAUUAGAGGUCAGAUAUUCCCUUUACAAAUGAUUUUUUUAGCUGGAAAUGGAAAGCAACAUUUUUUCCUUGAAGGAGCAAAGCCCGGGCUUAAAAUAUAAAUGAGCUGGAAGACCCCUGUGGACCGACAACAGUUUCGCUUCUGCAGUGAAACUCAACAUUUACACACUAGAUAGACAACAGUUUGAAAAUAUGUGAACCGUGAGGAAACCACCCCCCAAACCCCCUUAAACUCACAUCCACAUCUUAACCACACUAGGCAAAUUUGAGGCCAAUCAACCAAAAAAUUAUACUCCACCUAGCUUCCGAUAUUUUCUGACAUUAUGAUUUAAGGUGAAGAGGCAUUAUCAAAAGACUUAACUAACUCAAUUUUGUUUUAUCUUAGUAUCCGUCUCCACCGCCUAAAACAAAAAAAAUGAUUCCACAGAAGCUAAAAGACAUUUUCAGCAGAUCCCUCGGGUUUAAAUUCGCUCAUAUCUGUCAAUUUCUUCAACCACAAAUUUGUUAUCUUUGGCUGUUUACCAACACGCCCCAAAUUCAACUAAAAUAUGAUUAAUUAUCCUAUUCAAAACAUCUUACAUCCAAACAAACUCACUCAAAACUUAACAGUAUCAACCAUUAAAAAAAAAAACACUUGAACGAUAAGACUGCUAUAGCAAACAGGAGCUGAAACAUGCAAACCAAUAAUCAGAUUAAAGUUCAUAAGGAAAAUCCAACACAGAAACUGAUCUACUAAAGAAGGGGUGGGGAUAUUUAGGUAAACAAAGCAAUACAUGAUAAACAUGAUAAUUACAGCAAAUAGACAUCAUCAAAAAUUUGGGUUGAAUGCAAAAAUAGCAAAAAAAAUUAAAAACAAACCACAGCAGAUAAAUAUAUUGACAAUGGAAAAGAAAGAUUUUUAUGGUUUUUCUAAAAAAAAAGGAAAAAUCAGUUAAAACAGGGAGUGAGGGUUGAAGGCGGCUACAGUAUAUAUAGAAUUUGUAAAGAAGUUUAGUUGAUUGCAAUUUUGAGAUAUCCAGAAGUGUGUAAAUAAAAUAUAAUUUUUAUAUUUUCAUCAUGAACUUUAAGAAAACAGAAAUGUGUGGGUUCAAGUAUCCCCAUGCAAGAAAGAAGCAAGAUUUAUAUCACCUAUUUUUUAUGAAAAUGGAGAUAAGCAAAUCAAGUGUAUUCACUUCACAAUUUAUGGUAAUUUUGAACCAACUUCACAGCUAAACCUUCAAAAGUUCAAUGAAUCAGAAUAGUAACUAAUUGUCCUCUAUGUACCAUCCAAAUAUCACUUGAGUAUAAUUUAGUGGCAAUUAGAAUAAAAGCACACGAUCCCUUGUAAAAGCUAUUUAUGAAACUAACCACGUCCUUAGAGCAAAACCCAGAGUGAAUCUGAUUUCAAUCCAACCAAAGAUUGAAGCUGAACAUGGAAAGAACAGCACUAAGAUCUCUCCUAGAAGUAUAAAUAAAAUUGCAUAUGAUCCCUUCUGCUCCUUCCCAAAUAAAGGUCAAACAAAAGGUUUUAGUAAUCUUCAGUUUGUUAGAGAGUAGCACCUUUAAAACAAAAUCCACAAUUAUCAGAUAAGACUUUCAAGCUGAAGAGGUUUGGAACAGAUGCAAAACAUUGACCACCACCAGAAACAUAUCUAGUCAGAAAGAAACAUAUUCAAUUGAUACAAUAAGGAUGGAUCAUCUUGAAGAACUGCCAUAUUCACUCAAGUAACCAAUAAAAUCUCUAAAGCACAGUCCCCUUCAAUCCAUAACAUAUAUCCAGAUCGGUAGGCAGGUUUCAGAUUGCAUAUUCCUAUACAAGGUCUACACUUUUUGUUUCUCCAAAAACAUAAAACAUAGGGAGAUCUCCAUAAAAGCACUAUAGCCAUAGGCAAUUAAAGUUUAAACUAACUUCUGCAUCUGUCGCGAUAUAAUAAAAGCCAUAGCUUGAACUUUCCAAUUCCACAAAAGAGUCACCCAGUCCACUUCCUUUUAACAGCUUCAAGAUUAAACAUCAAUCUGUAUUCUUGAUCCAUGACGUACUCAUGAAUAUAGAAGGAAACUUAUACUGCCCUUUACCACAACAACCGAUAUAAAAAAACCUCCAGUUCAUACCUAGAGCAGAGGGAGCACAAUCUAUUACAAUCUCCGACGUACAGAAGAAAUAUAAGUUUCUUAGUCCAGGUCCUUCAUGUAUGUAACCUAACUAGACACAUUGAACUCCUAACAUGGUGCUAAUUAUAGUAGAAACAUAACUAGAAAGAGAUGUACAGGGUAAUGGAAGACAAGGGGAAAAAGUUGAAUGAAGAUAAUUAAUAAAAAUUAAAAAGGCAACUGCCACCAUAUUUUCAGCAGCAAGCCAGCUGCCCAUCAACAAUGAACUGCAUCCUGCAUUUCCCAGCCCACCUAGACAAAAGAGUGAAACAGCCUCUAAAAGUUAUAAGGUGAACGCAUUUACCAUAAAACUCAGGAAACUUAAAAUUGCAAUACAGCUGCCAUUACCAAAGGAUCUCGAGUCUAGUAGAAAUAGCCACCUCCAUAUAAGCGAUCAUCCCCGUAAUAUGGUGGGUAAGGUGGAUGUGCACCAUACUGAAAAAAUGAAAAUAUGAUGGAACAUUAUAAAAAUGUCAUCUGCACAUCAAUAUGGACAUGCUAAAACUGCGAGCUUACAUUGGGAACAUGAUAAUCAUCUGAAUAGUGAUUACUGCAAGCUCCAACAUUAUCUAAACAAAAUAAAAUACAGAUGAGCAAUAGGAUGAAUAAAACAUGAAAUUGAGCCUGCCUAAAAAAGUCAACAAAUGCAAAGCAUUGCAUACCAUGAUGAUGGCUUCCAUGAAAUGGAAUUACUGGAUCAUUAUAAUCCAGUCGUGGUCGGAAUCUUCUUGGCCCCAUGCAAUCAGGCUCAUGGUCCUACAGGCAGUAAGCAAAAUUCCAACUAAUAACACUAGGAUAAUUGGUAAAGGAUAGGAACAAACGUGUUAGAAACGUAAAUCAGAGAUAAUAAAAAAUUGGACAAAUAGCUUGCCAUCACAUGGAAUGACCGCUUUACUCCAUGGGCACGGUCAUCAUAAAAAUAAGGGUCAUCAACUUGUCUCCCAAUAAAAGGUCUGUCAAAGUCUUCGCCUUGAGAAAAUGGUUGCCUCCUAUAAGAAUGAUGCUCCCCAUAGCCUCUAUCGGGGCCAUCCGGCCAAAGUCUAGUAGGAUUAGACCUUGAAGGCCCAGCUCCUGCGGCGGCUCUACUAGGUGCAUUAUAACCACCUCUGAAACUCCUUCCUCCUGUAAGUAAUAUAUAUCAAAUUGUAAGACCAGCCUCUAUGUGUUAACUCAUACAUGCUUGUGUAGUUGUGCACAUGGAUGCAUCAACAAACAAGCUCAGAGAGAGAGAGAGAGAGAGAACCUCGUCCAAUAAAUUGUCUCCCAUGAAACUCAGUGUAUCGGUUGUCAAAGUCAUACUCAGUGGGACCCAUUCUACUACUGUGAUUCCGACCAUGUUGAUAGAAACCCCUGCCGCGUUGGAAAUUUGCCCUGUUAAAGUGAUGUCCAGCCCGCCCAGAGCCCCUUCCUAUAAGCCAUAAAAGUAAUCAUAAGCAAAAGGCAUGGACAUGAAAAUCUAAAGCCUCAGUUUCUAAAAGAUAGUAGAUUACCAUAUCUUGAAAAGGUUCUGCUGCUACCAUGACCAAUUCGGAAUCCACCAGACAUACCACCCUUCACUGCCUGAGUUUUUGGCAUCGGAUUUGAAAGUCUUGCUCUCAGUUUUACCUAGGAGGACAUGACAAAUCAAUAAAAUCUAUUAUCCCCGAGGUAUAAGCCCAGUUGGCUUAACUCUUGCAGUGGAAGCAAGAUGUGAUGGCGGUUCAAGCCCAAGGGGAUACCUUUAAUUUGGGGUUAGGUUAGGUUCAUUGUAACUGAAAAGAAUUUACCCCAGGCCAUUAACUGAUAAGUGCAAGUCACAGACAUGUACAUGAAAAUGAUAAGAGUCUACAAGAGAACAAAAGGGGCAUUGACUUCUACUUGUUCUUCUUCUUAUUAUCAUUAUUAAUUUUGGAUGACAAUGCAGCAGAUUGUUCAGGAAGCUUUAAUUAGAUAAUCUCUAACAAAUUAGCAUUUUCAAGAAAAAAAGUAAGAAAAUGCAACCCAUUUGAAAACUUAAAGCCCCUACAAUAUAGAUGUAGACACAAAAGCAUAUACACCACAGCACAUCCAAUAUCAAACUACAAGCUUCACCUUUGAAUUGCCAUCACUGAAUUCUUUAUUGUUUAUGGCAUUGAUGCAAGCAACAGCAGCUUCAUGGGUUGAGAAAUCAAUAAACCCAUAGUCCUUCCUUUUAGCAGUUGACAUAUUUCGAGCUAGGACAAUCCGUAUAACAUCCCCAUAGCCUUUUAUCUGAUCUCUAAUUUGGUUUUCUUUCCAGUGAGGAGGAACCCCAUCAAGAAAUACAGUCUUCACAUGGGCCAUUAUUUCUGGGUCAGGCUCACGUAAAGGUUCAGCAAAAGCUACCUUGACAGUUCUUUCGGGAUGACCAAAAACAACAUCAGGCUUCUGAAGCCUCUUGUAUGCAGCCAUAGCAUCAACAUGGCAAGAGAACAUAACAAAUGCAAAACCACGACUCAACCCUUCAUGUUGAAUAUCUGACACAAGGUUAAUGUUCUCAACACCUUCGACACCGUAAUCUUUCAGUUUUUGCUUAAUCUGCCAACCCACAUAACAUUAAGGAUGAGUAAUCAAACCUGACAAGUAGAUACACAUAACAAACCAGAUACUUACAGCCUCCUUUGUCCAUGUAUUGCAGAUAUUUCCUACAAACAAUGUGUCAUUGUCCUCACUUGGUGCAGUCCCGCAUCGCUUUCCACAAAUCUGUUUGAGAGGAAAAAUUAGGAUAUAUAUCAAAAAUAGCUGAAGCAUAAACUAGAACAGAUCCAUACCACAGGAUUCUUCAUCUCAGUCAGAGCCCGUUUUGCGUGCUCCUUGUUUGCAAACUUCACAAACGCAUAUCCCUUAUUCCUAUUUGUCGAAAAAUUCUUGUGUAAUCGAACUUCAAUUACCUCUCCAAUCCUCUCAAAAACCUUUCUAACAUCCUCUUCCGUAGCAUCACGAUCCAAUCCACCAAUAAAAAUUUCAUGCUCUUUCUUAAUCUUGCGGUCCUUCGCUAUCGCGUUUAGUUCCCUGCGUUCAUCUUCCAAUGUCUCAGCUUCAUCAGCAGGCUCCUCCAUAUCAUCAUCGGCAAACUCUUCCUCGUCAUGCUCUCCAUAGUCUACGCAAUCACCAUAAUCCUCAUAACUUCCAUAGUCAUCCAGUUCCGAUUGAAAAUUUUCCCCCAACAACUUGCUUUUCAGAUCUUCUUCUUUGUCAACAGGCACAGUCUCAGGCUCCUCUUUGUCAUCAACAUUUUCUAACUCCUCCUCUUCAGGGUCUUCAUCUG
RNAcentral lists this long non-coding RNA (8879 nucleotides) under Citrus sinensis (sweet orange). RNAcentral describes it as "long non-coding RNA (CSIN_LNC000453)". The record is from RNAcentral. Lineage: Eukaryota; Viridiplantae; Streptophyta; Magnoliopsida; Sapindales; Rutaceae.